RNAcentral lists this transfer RNA (70 nucleotides) under Acinetobacter baumannii. RNAcentral describes it as "tRNA-Val". The stretch from base 1 to 57 matches the Rfam family "tRNA". From Rfam's summary of the family: Transfer RNA (tRNA) molecules are approximately 80 nucleotides in length. Their secondary structure includes four short double-helical elements and three loops (D, anti-codon, and T loops). Lineage: Bacteria; Pseudomonadati; Pseudomonadota; Gammaproteobacteria; Moraxellales; Moraxellaceae. The record is from RNAcentral.
GGGCGCUUAGCUCAGUUGGUAGAGCGUCUGCCUUACAAGCAGAAUGUCNAGCCUUUACGUUAAGAUCUCA